UGAGUAUUCUACCUUGUAAAUACUAUUAUUUGUAUAUACUGUAAAUGAUGACAUCAGUGGGCACUAACUGAGCCCGGGGAAACUGGGAACAACCUCAAAACCAAAAGCAGACACAGCAUAAGCAGCGACCACAGGCCACUGUAGAACAGAUUCAACUUGCGCAGAUGAUUUUGGACCACAGUGAUGCUGACUUUGAGGAGAAAGUGAAACAAUUGAUUGAUAUCACAGGCAAGAACCAGGAUGAGUGUGUGAUUGCUUUGCAUGACUGCAAUAGAGAGGUCAACAGAGCAAUCAAUUGUUCUUCUGGAAGGAAACCCAGACACACAUUCUUGGGAGAUGGUCAGGAAGAAGAAAGGUGUCUCAGGACAGAAGGAUGGUGGUCAGGCAAAAUCCAGUGAGGAAGGCAAAGAAAAUCGAGACCAGGACAGAGACUAUAGUUGAUGAUGUGGUGGGCCACCAAGACAGGGGAGAGGUACCAGCCAAAAAUGAGAGUGUGUCCUUGGGGCUUUGUCAAAACCAACCAUGGUUCAGGGUCAGGAAAAUGGAUUGGAUGGCACCAAGAGUGGAGGACCUCCUGGAAGAGGCACAGAAAGAGGCUGAAGAGGCUGAAGAGGCUGUGGCUGAGGCAGAGGAGGCUCUGGUAGGCACGAAGGAAGGUUUUCUGCUCAAGGGAUGGAAAAUUUUAACCCAGCUGAUUAUGCAGAGCCAGCCAAUACUGAUGAUAACUAUGGCAAUAGUGGCAGCAAUACAUGGGACAAUACUGACCACUUUGAAACAGAUGAUGGGACAAGCCUUGAUUUCAUUGGGGUUGAGGGAUCAAAUUAUCCCCGAAAAUUUGAGACUGCUCCUGGUCUGAUACAUCCAGGUGCAUGGAGGGCUGUAACAGAGGAGUGGGGAGCUGAAGAUUGGAAUGAAGAUCUUUCUGAGACCAAGAUCUUCACUGCAUUUAAUGUGUCUUCAGUGCCUCUGCCUGCAGAGAAUGGGACAAUCACUGCUGGUCAGAGAACUGACCUUGCUGUUCUGCUGGGGAAGACACCAUCUUCAAUAGAGAAUGAUUCAUCUAAUCUGGAUCCAUCUCAGGCUCCUUCACUGGCUUAGCCUCUGGUAUUCAGUAACUUGAAGCAGAGUGCCAUAUCACAGCCUGCUUUGGGGAGCACGUUUUCCCAUCAUGGUAUGGUGAGCAUGUUGGGGAAGGGAUUUGGUGAUUUCGGUGAGGCUGAAGGUGGCAGUACCACAGGCUCCCAGUUCUUAGAGCAAUUCAAGACUGCGUAGGCCCUGGCUCAGUUGGCAGCUCAGCAUUUCAGUCUGUAAGCACCACUACCUCCUCUUGGGACAUGGCCUCAAUGACAUAGUCCCCAUCACUGGAGCAGUAUGCUUUGAAGAACCCAGAUGAUUCAGCGGUGCACAGCCCCUUUACAAAAUGCCAACCUUUCACUCCAUCUUCAACCAUGAUGGAGGUGUUCCUUCUGGAGAAGCCUCCUGCAGUGGCAACCUCCACAGCUGCACCUCCACCCCCCUCUUCACCUCUGCCAAGCAAAUCCACCUCACCUCCAGAGAUGUCUCCUGGGGCUUCAGACAACCAGUCCUCCAACCCUCAGCCUGCUGAGCAGAAACUGAAAUAGCAGAAGCAAAAAGCCUCUUUGACUUCUAAGACUCCUGCUUUGGCUGUGGAUAUGCCUGGCUUAGCAGGUAUCUCAGGACUAAAUCUGCAGUUUGGGGAACUGCAGUUUGAGUCAGAGCCUAUCCUUUCUGAUUAUGAGUCCACCCCCACCACGAGCGCCUCUUCAAGCCAGGCUCCAAGCAGCCUGUAUACCAGCACGGCCAGUGAAUCUUCAUCUACAAUUUCAUCUAACCAGAGUCAGGAUUCUGGUUAUCAGAGUGGCCCAAUUCACUCAACAACCUAUACCUCCUAAAACAAUGCUCAGGGCCCUCUAUAAGAACAGAGAUCCACACAGACUCGGCGGUACCCCAGCUCCAUCACCCUAAAAGGACCUGACUCAGGCAAAGAAUGGCUUCCGUUCUGUGCAGGCCACACAGUUACAGACCACACAAUCGGUUGAAGGUGCUACAGGCUCUUCGGUGAAAUCUGACUCACCUUCCACUUCUAGUGUCUCCACACUCAAUGAAACAGUAUCUGUAGUUUCCCUACUGACAACCACCAAUCAACACUCUUUCUCCUUGGGUGGCUUGAGCCAUGGAGAGGAGAUUCCAAGUACCACCACCACACAACACAGCAGCAUGUUAUCUACACAUCAGAAUACGCUUUUGUCAUCAACAUCUUCUGGGCACACAUCAAUAUCCACUCUCCUGCCUACAAGUGUGGAGAGUGAAGUGAAUCUCCAUUCUUCCUCUAGCACUUUCUCUACCAUGUCCAGCACAGUCUCUGCACCUCCCCUAGUAGUCAGCAUCUCUUCCAGUCUCAAUAGUGGCAGUAGUUGGUCUCAGCCUAAGCAGCAACUCUACCAUCAUGGCCUCAACUUGAAGCUCAGUUGCUACAACUUCAGGAAAAGCUCCUCCCAACCUCCCUCCUGGGGUCCUGCCAUUGUUACCUAAUCCAUAUAUUAUGGCUCCAGGGCAGCUACACGCCUGUUGCCUAUGAGUCACAAGUGUAUGGUUAUGAUGACUUGCAGAUGCUUCAGACAAGGUUUCUAUUGGAUUACUACAGCAUCCCAUUUCCCACACCCACCACUCCACUGACUGGGAGGGAUGGUAGCCUGGCCAGCAACCCUUAUUCUGGUGACCUCACAAAGUUUGACCAUGGGGAUGCCUCCUCCCCAGCUCCAGCCACAACCUUGGCCUAGCCCCAACAGAACCAGACUCAGGCACACUACACCACACAGCAGAAGUUCCUGAAUAUGGUGCUGCCUCCUGGCUACAGUUAUACCAGCCUGCCAUACUACACAGGGGUUCUUGGGCUCCCCAGAAUCUUUCAGUAUGAGCCUGCUAUGUUCCCUUGGCUCCUACCUCUUCCAAGCAGCAUAGUGUGAAUGUCAGUAUGAAUGCAUCAGCCACCACUUUCCAACAUAUGGGUCUCAUCGAUACAACACUGGUGUAUCAGUUACCUCCAGUAACACAAGCAUGCCAGAUAUCUCGGGUUCUGUGUACUCCAAAACCCAGCAGUCCUUUGAGAAACAAACUUUUCAUUCUGGUACUCCUGCUGCCUCCUUCAACUUGCCCUCAGCCCUUGGAAGUGGAGAGCUCAUCAAUCCGGCCACAGCUGCUGCCUAUCCAGCUGCCCCCUUUAUGCAUAUUCUGACACCCCAUCAGCAGCCCACUCCCAGAUCCUUCACCAUCAUCUGCAGCAGGUUCACCAGAUGGGCAGCAGGCAACGUAGCCAGACCAGCUCCAUCCUACAGAAGCCCCAGACCAAGAGGUCUGCCUACAACAUCUACAGCGGGGGGGGGGGGGGUCAAUUGAAGCCCUGA
RNA transcript from Octodon degus (degu), 3425 nucleotides. It is a transcript of the gene named ubiquitin-associated protein 2-like pseudogene, with no coding region annotated. The transcript has a single exon. The record is from RefSeq and is a predicted model, not a curated record. Lineage: Eukaryota; Metazoa; Chordata; Mammalia; Rodentia; Octodontidae.